This 721-nucleotide ribosomal RNA is filed under the name Shigella dysenteriae. RNAcentral describes it as "bacterial LSU rRNA". It matches the Rfam family "Bacterial large subunit ribosomal RNA", at positions 2222 to 2925 of the family's 2925-position model. Lineage: Bacteria; Pseudomonadati; Pseudomonadota; Gammaproteobacteria; Enterobacterales; Enterobacteriaceae. The record is from RNAcentral.
CUAACGUUGACCCGUAAUCCGGGUUGCGGACAGUGUCUGGUGGGUAGUUUGACUGGGGCGGUCUCCUCCUAAAGAGUAACGGAGGAGCACGAAGGUUGGCUAAUCCUGGUCGGACAUCAGGAGGUUAGUGCAAUGGCAUAAGCCAGCUUGACUGCGAGCGUGACGGCGCGAGCAGGUGCGAAAGCAGGUCAUAGUGAUCCGGUGGUUCUGAAUGGAAGGGCCAUCGCUCAACGGAUAAAAGGUACUCCGGGGAUAACAGGCUGAUACCGCCCAAGAGUUCAUAUCGACGGCGGUGUUUGGCACCUCGAUGUCGGCUCAUCACAUCCUGGGGCUGAAGUAGGUCCCAAGGGUAUGGCUGUUCGCCAUUUAAAGUGGUACGCGAGCUGGGUUUAGAACGUCGUGAGACAGUUCGGUCCCUAUCUGCCGUGGGCGCUGGAGAACUGAGGGGGGCUGCUCCUAGUACGAGAGGACCGGAGUGGACGCAUCACUGGUGUUCGGGUUGUCAUGCCAAUGGCACUGCCCGGUAGCUAAAUGCGGAAGAGAUAAGUGCUGAAAGCAUCUAAGCACGAAACUUGCCCCGAGAUGAGUUCUCCCUGACCCUUUAAGGGUCCUGAAGGAACGUUGAAGACGACGACGUUGAUAGGCCGGGUGUGUAAGCGCAGCGAUGCGUUGAGCUAACCGGUACUAAUGAACCGUGAGGCUUAACCUUACAACGCCGAAG